UUUUUUUUUUUUUCAUGUAAUAGUAUUUUCAUUGUAAACACAUUAUGUUCUAUCACUGUGACAGCUAUGAGUACAUGGACUUCUGGGGUAAAGGAACGCAAGUCACAGUUACAUCUGGCACACCAGCCCCACCCACUGUCUUUCCUCUGAUGCAAUGUGGCUCCGGAGCAGGAGACAUGGUCACUCUCGGCUGUCUGGCCACCGGCUUCAAACCCCUUCCACUGACAUUUGCGUGGAGCAAAGAUGGGGCCGAUUUGUCUGACUUCAUUCAGUAUCCUUCAGUGGAGAAGGACAACCUUUACACGGGAGUCAGUCAGAUCCGAGUGAGGCAAGCCGACUGGGACGGCAGGGCCAAAUUUCGAUGUGUCGCCAAACAUUCAACUAAAACUGUUGAUGCUGUGAUUACAAAAACAGAAGAGAGGAUGGAGAGGAUUGUGUCUCCAAACAUGACAUUGUAUCCGCUGUGGGAGGGCAACCUUACAGGAGACUCCUCUGUCAAACUUAGAUGCGCCUUAAGUGGCUUCUUCCCGGACAUGCUGAGUGUCGAGUGGCUGCAGGGCAACCAAAUCAUCGACGGCGUGCAAACCGUGAGCAAGUUUCAGAGUGUGACGACCCCAAAGACCUUCAGUCUAAUCAGUGAGAUUGAACCUGAUGCAAAAGAGUGGACAAACGGCUUAAGGUUUACCUGCAAGUCCACUCACAACAAGGUGGAAGAGAAAAAGUCAAUCAGUAUCUGUGAAACACAGGCAAGCGUCCCACCUUCCGUUCAUGUGGAGCUCCCCAGCUUCAAGGAAGUCAUGACGGAAACAUCCCAAGUGAAAGCAACAUGCUCGGUGCGCACCGCAUUGGAUGCCGUUGUCACAUGGCUGCUGGACGGCAAAGCAGCCGCCGAACAAGCGAACGCGUACGCUAAUGCAUCUCACGUCAUCAGUACUCUGACAGUGAUGCCUGAUGUGUGGAGACAAAUCAGGAUUCUCAAAUGUAAAGUUGUGCAUCGUUGCUUUCCUGACGUCGAGGAGACCAUACGUGUGUCAGGUGUUGCAGUCACCGCUCCACUGGUGGAGAUGAGGCGAUCUCUUGCAGAUUUACAGAAUAAAAACAGCGGCGUGUUCGAGUGUGACGUCACGCAACUAGACGCCAUCGACCUCUACGUCACAUUUCAGGCCGACGGUGUGGAUAUUUCUAACAAACAGUAUGUUGAUCUCCCUGAAGGCCUGGGACCACAUUCCAUCCGUCCACGUUUCAGUUUGCACGAGUCCUACAGGAAGACUGACGCAAAUUUAACCUGCAAAGUGAACCAAGGCUUCUCCGACAGCUUCCGCUCAAACCCCAUUUACAGCCUUUUUGAGAACCCAUCAGUGGAACUUUUUCUGGCCCCCGUUGAGGAAUCAAAACCUCAGAGGGUUCUGUGCUCUGGUCAGGGCUUUAACCCUCAAAUUAAAUGGUUCAGCGAGGCUAAGCAGAGAGCUCCAUCAAUUACUAGCAUCAGCAUGAGUGCGGAUGGACGUGUGACUGUGACCAGUCAACUCCACGUCCCACCGAUAGAGUGGCAAACUGGGAAGGUCUUCACCUGUCGAGUGUCUGACAAGUGGCUGAAAAAAAAUGUCACAAAGACCAUCAGCAUUUGCUCCGUAACCCCAAUAUCAUCCCAACAAGUUGGAGUGUUUGUUCACGGACCCCCACUCACAGAGUCUCAGCAGAGGGACAAGGUGACCAUUACUUGUCUUUUGGUUGGCCCUCGACUUCAUGAUUUUGUCAUCUCCUGGAAAGUAGAUGGGAAGAAAUACUCUCAGAAUUCCCACACGGAGGAGCCAACUCGUCACAGCAAUGGUACAGAGACCUUACGGAGCUUCCUCAGUGCGCCAGCAGAUGACUGGGAUGCAUAUAAACAAAUGUCUUGUGAGGGAAAACACAAGUGUUCCAACCAGGGCCAUGAGGACUACAUCAGCAAAAGCAGAGCCACAGUGACUCCUACUCAACCGUCAGCCAUCUUGCUCCAGGGUCGUGGUGAACUGGUGUGUCUGGUGUUUGGCUUCAGUCCCGCGUCCGUUAACGUCUCCUGGUUUCUGGAUGACACCAAUGAGCUGCCGGACUUUAACACCAGUCAACCCAGCAGAGGCCCAGAUGGGAAGUUCAGCAUCCAAAGCCGCCUUCGUCUGUCUCAAGUCAACUUGUUACCUGGGGCGGUUCACACCUGCAGGGUGACACAUGUGACCGUUACACUGACCUUGAAUCUAACCAAUCCAGUGAUUUUGCCGGAUUGCAACGUCUUGGAUGACAUUGCUCAUGCAGUUGUUAACCAAGAUAUCAAUGCGGAAAGCUGGUAUAUGUCUGCCACAUUCCUUGUCCUCUUCCUCAUCUCCACCAUCUAUGGUGUGGUGGCCACCCUGCUUAAGACUAAAUAAUUCUGUCAGUGGAACAGAUGAAUGCUUCCAAGACAGUGGAUGUUUUAUUGAACUUCUUUUGACAUAUAAAGAUUUGGUUUGAGUAUUGUAUCACUGGUUUAAUGUUUGCUUUUUACAAAGCAGUAUCACAACAACAUACAAAUUAGAAUAUUGUUUCUGCAUUUAAACAGUAAAAACAAAAAAAAGCUAAAAUAACACACCCUAAGUUACUCACAUUGACCACAAGAGUGCACCAAAGUUUAAACUGUAGUAACGCUUGCUUGCUUGAGUUUCGUUAUACAUGCUUGAAAAUGUUAAGUAUUGACAAAACUUAACUAAAGAACCAUUUCUUUACUACAACAGAUAUGUUUUUUUAAAUAUUAUAUUAUUUCCGUCCACAGUAUUUUUGAAAGUAUGUACACACUCCCACUAUACUGUCUGCAUGUGUUGUGUGUAUAUAGUGGGUUUAAAGGAAUUUCCAUCUCGGAGGGAGGACAACUCAGCAACAUCAAGGACAACUAUUGGCUACCUCUGCUAUGAAUUGGCUUUGUUGAUGUGUGAUUGGCCGGGGACUUGAGUUAGUAAGCCCAAAUCUGUGACGCUGUUGCUGGGAUGUGGAUGCACCAUGCGGAUGCCAUCCUAACUGCCAAGAGGCCGGUGAGAGGGAUGCAUGGCAUCAGGCCCACGGGACGGCCUGAGAGGGUGUCACUGUCUUUGACCACCGUCACAUCCCAUACUAAAAAAAUGAGUUACUGUAUAUUUGAUAUAGGGAAUUACGCUAACGUUUAGUACAAAGGAGUAAUGCAUUUGUGAUGUGUAAAAUAAAUAGUCUUGACGAGUCUAUAAGAUGGUAUUUUUUACUAUAUAAAAAUUCUGAAAAAAACCUGGAAAUGUAUACAUGCUAACCACAGUUGUCACCAAACGACUUUUGUCCCCUUGCACUUUACACUCACGUCCAUAACCAAGGUCGGCUAGUUUUUGUGGCACGAAAUAAAAUGUAGUUUGUGGCUUCGAUAUUACAAGGAUUUGAUUUGUAAGUAGCUAGCUAAUCAAAGUGAACCGACCAAGGUUUCAAAUGUCACUUGUUAUUGAAAAUAUAAAUAGUGUGCAUCUAAAUUUAGACAUAGCACCUUGCACCAGAAGUAUAGUUUUCCUCUGUCAAUGGUAAUGAUCCUGCCACAUGUUAACAUACAGAAACUUUGUUUAACUUCUACUUCCUCUGAUUAAGUUUGAUUUCUUCUCUACGAUGCGCCAGAGCCGAGGACCUCACUAAAUUAUGCAAUCGCAAUUGUUUGUUUAUCCAAGUGGUUGCAACUUUUUGUUCAAGGGGGAAAAAGUCGCAAUGUGAUCUGUUUUGUUCACUUAAAAGAAACUGGAUUUUUUAAAUACGUUUCUUUAGUUCACUCUUUAUACACCUUUUCGGACAUGCUAUAAUAAAAAACUGAGAAUAUGAGCUGUAUUGCAUUGUU
This is a non-coding RNA of Nerophis ophidion (straightnose pipefish), 3853 nucleotides long. The record is from the annotation of a RefSeq genome assembly. NCBI's taxonomy places the organism in Eukaryota, Metazoa, Chordata, Actinopteri, Syngnathiformes, Syngnathidae.